Molecule: ribosomal RNA, 496 nt
Filed under: uncultured bacterium
Lineage: Bacteria
Description: partial 16S ribosomal RNA
Rfam family: Bacterial small subunit ribosomal RNA
Source: RNAcentral
GAUGAACGCUGGCGGCGUGCCUAAUACAUGCAAGUCGAGCGAACAGAUGAGGAGCUUGCUCCUCUGACGUUAGCGGCGGACGGGUGAGUAACACGUGGAUAACCUACCUAUAAGACUGGGAUAACUUCGAGAAACCGGAGCUAAUACCGGAUAAUAUAUUGAACCGCAUGGUUCAAUAGUGAAAGACGGUUUUGCUGUCACUUAUAGAUGGAUCCGCGCCGCAUUAGCUAGUUGGUAAGGUAACGGCUUACCAAGGCAACGAUGCGUAGCCGACCUGAGAGGGUGAUCGGCCACACUGGAACUGAGACACGGUCCAGACUCCUACGGGAGGCAGCAGUAGGGAAUCUUCCGCAAUGGGCGAAAGCCUGACGGAGCAACGCCGCGUGAGUGAUGAAGGUCUGCGGAUCGUAAAACUCUGUUAUUAGGGAAGAACAAAUGUGUAAGUAACGAUGCACGUCUUGACGGUACCUAAGCAGAAAGCCACGGCUAACUACGU